This 71-nucleotide ribosomal RNA is filed under the name Candidatus Omnitrophota bacterium. RNAcentral describes it as "partial 16S ribosomal RNA". It matches the Rfam family "Bacterial small subunit ribosomal RNA", at positions 1 to 70 of the family's 1533-position model. The record is from RNAcentral. Lineage: Bacteria; Pseudomonadati; Candidatus Omnitrophota.
CCUUUUGGAGGGUUUGAUCCUGGCUCAGAGUGAACGCUGGCGGCGUGGAUUAGGCAUGCAAGUCGAGCGGU